RNAcentral lists this ribosomal RNA (102 nucleotides) under Sinocyclocheilus anshuiensis. Lineage: Eukaryota; Metazoa; Chordata; Actinopteri; Cypriniformes; Cyprinidae. The record is from RNAcentral.
UCCAACUUAGCUGGUUCAAAAUCUGGGUCAUAUGGGUUAGGGUUUGAGACUGGUCAGUACCUGGAUGGGAGACCUCCUGGGUAAACUAGGUUGCUGUUGGAA